GAGGAGGGGAGGGCAGGGCGGUGGCAAAGUGGUUCUUUGUGCUUUUAAUCUGCAUUUUUUCCCUCAACGUUCCGUCUCCAGGAGGAUAAUUUUCCAGCCUUUUCAGGCCCUGAUUGGUAUCAUUUCUCCAGCAAUGACAGCUUUUAUUUUCCCUGAAAUGAAUGCCGUGAAAUUUCCAAGAAAUAUAAAAAUGGAUAUUGUCUCAGGGAGCCGACUCUCUUCCGACAGAAAGGCACAAAGCAAACAGGCUUCCCUGGGGACCCUGCUGUGCCAGCCACUAGGGGGUGGGGGACCUGAGCCCUCAGCCCCUCCUCCCUGCCAGGCCACCCUACCUGCCUGCCUCACUCCAUCUUGCCUGCUCUGUUCAGCACCGCACCCCCCACAGGACACCCAACCUCAGAGACUCCCAGGACAACCCAGCCCCUGAGCAAGGUGACCUCCUGACUGAGGAGCAAGAGAAUGACAGGACACAGCAGCACCCAGCCAAGCCCGGAGCCAGGCAACGGGACGCUCAGCUUGGGGGCCGGGGAGGCGGGAGCUGGGGAGCAUCGGCCCCCAGAGCCGCCUUGGAGAGAGAAGGGCUGAGGGUGUGCAAGGAGCAGAGGGGAGGGGUGCGGGUUGGUCCUGAAACCCUCACUUCAGCCCCUUCCCUGACCGAAGACCAGAUCCCAGCCCACUCCUCCUGGGUGGGCAUCACCAGGUCUGGGUUCCGGGGAAGGGUUCGCGAAGACCGCCCACUCCCUGGGGACCACAGUGGUCCCACCAGUGACACAUCUGUUGAGCCUUCACUAAGUGAGGGGCAAAAUGCUCCACUCCAAGGGGGCUGCCAACCUGAAGCCAGGCCUGGGUCAGCCUGGAGCCCAGCCGUGAUCAGAACCGUCGCGGCGCCCCUCUGGCCUGCAUGUGCUGCUCUGUCCUGCCCAUUCCCGCCCCACACCCUCUGUGACCCCUCGUUGCGGUUUCCGGAGCCUCCUCGGUCUGGCCUCAGACCCCCUUCCAGCCUCCUGGCUCGUGCUCCCCUAAAUGUCCCUCCUUUCCAAGGGAUUGAACCCCCACUUCUGUGCCUUUGUUCUAGCCAUCCCCUCAGCCUGAAUACCCCAUCCCCAGCCCUCCUGUCCUUCAUCAGUCCCCUCUCCAGGAUCCCCUGAUAGUCCCCCUGGCUGGGCAGGUCCCUACCUGAAGGAGCCUGCCCGAGAGUCUCUCCUUGCCGGAGAGGUCUGUGCCCCUAUGUGCCCAGCCCAGAACCUGGGGCAUGGACUGGGCUGGAUGGAGCAGGCCCAUGCCCCAAUCCACAGGGAGGUCCUAGCCAGGCCCUAUGCCCAGCCCCACUGCGUCCCUGUGAGCCCCUCUGUCUCCUUCCCUCCACAGCCCUGCUCUCCUACAAGGGACAGUUAGUGGCCUCGGCCACUCCCAGUGCUGUGGCUGGAACCCCCAUAAUAAAACACGUGGAACCCUCCUAAGUGCCA
This 1466-nucleotide long non-coding RNA is filed under the name Felis catus (domestic cat). Its description in RNAcentral is "lncRNA (ENSFCAG00000050323.1)". The record is from RNAcentral. Lineage: Eukaryota; Metazoa; Chordata; Mammalia; Carnivora; Felidae.